UGAGUAACGCGUGAGUAACCUGCCCUAGAGUGGGGGACAACAGUUGGAAACGACUGCUAAUACCGCAUAAGCCCACGGUACCGCAUGGUACUGAGGGAAAAGGAUUUAUUCGCUUUAGGAUGGACUCGCGUCCAAUUAGCUAGUUGGUGAGGUAACGGCCCACCAAGGCGACGAUUGGUAGCCGGACUGAGAGGUUGAACGGCCACAUUGGGACUGAGACACGGCCCAGACUCCUACGGGAGGCAGCAGUGGGGGAUAUUGCACAAUGGGGGAAACCCUGAUGCAGCGACGCCGCGUGGAGGAAGAAGGUUUUCGGAUUGUAAACUCCUGUCGUUAGGGACGAUAAUGACGGUACCUAACAAGAAAGCACCGGCUAACUACGUGCCAGCAGCCGCGGUAAAACGUAGGGUGCAAGCGUUGUCCGGAAUUACUGGGUGUAAAGGGAGCGCAGGCGGGAAGACAAGUUGGAAGUGAAAACCAUGGGCUCAACCCAUGAAUUGCUUUCAAAACUGUUUUUCUUGAGUAGUGCAGAGGUAGAUGGAAUUCCCGGUGUAGCGGUGGAAUGCGUAGAUAUCGGGAGGAACACCAGUGGCGAAGGCGGUCUACUGGGCACCAACUGACGCUGAGGCUCGAAAGCAUGGGUAGCAAACAGGAUUAGAUACCCUGGUAGUCCAUGCCGUAAACGAUGAUUACUAGGUGUUGGGGGAUUGACCCCCUCAGUGCCGCAGUUAACACAAUAAGUAAUCCACCUGGGGAGUACGACCGCAAGGUUGAAACUCAAAGGAAUUGACGGGGGCCCGCACAAGCAGUGGAGUAUGUGGUUUAAUUCGAA
RNAcentral lists this ribosomal RNA (832 nucleotides) under uncultured bacterium. RNAcentral describes it as "bacterial SSU rRNA". It matches the Rfam family "Bacterial small subunit ribosomal RNA", at positions 107 to 955 of the family's 1533-position model. The record is from RNAcentral.